UCCACUGUUGCGUUUUUCAUACGUACGUAUACGCACGUAAAACUUUAAAUCCGUUUCAAUGUUACUUAUGAAAUAACCAAAUAAAUAAAGUAACAGAAUUUAGUGUUCUGCAAGUUAUUAUUAUCUUAUUUGUAAAAUAUUUUAAAAAUAGGAGGAUUCAAAGUUUUACGUGCGUGUACGUGCGUACGAAAAACGCAACAGUGGA
Molecule: microRNA precursor, 205 nt
Filed under: Paramuricea clavata
Lineage: Eukaryota; Metazoa; Cnidaria; Anthozoa; Malacalcyonacea; Plexauridae
Source: RNAcentral